RNAcentral lists this unclassified non-coding RNA (334 nucleotides) under soil metagenome. Its description in RNAcentral is "partial contains 5.8S ribosomal RNA, internal transcribed spacer 2, and large subunit ribosomal RNA". The stretch from base 1 to 120 matches the Rfam family "5.8S ribosomal RNA", at positions 35 to 154 of the family's 154-position model. The record is from RNAcentral.
GAUGAAGAACGCAGCGAAAUGCGAUAAGUAAUGUGAAUUGCAGAAUUCAGUGAAUCAUCGAAUCUUUGAACGCACAUUGCGCCCGCCAGUAUUCUGGCGAGCAUGCCUGUUCGAGCGUCAUUUCAACCAUCAAGCCCCAGGCUUGUGUUGGAGCCCUGCGGCUGCCGCAGCCUCCCAAAACCAGUGGCGGGCUCGCUAUCACACCGAGUGCAGUAGUUUACUCUUCGCUCAGGGCGUGUGGCGGGUGCUAGCCGUGAAACCCCCAACUUCUCAAGGUUGACCUCGGAUCAGGUAGGAAUACCCGCUGAAUUUAAGCAUAUCAAUAAGCGGAGGA